GAUGAACGCUAGCGACAGGCUUAACACAUGCAAGUCGAGGGGCAGCGGGGAGCAAGCUUGCUUGCUCUGCCGGCGACCGGCGCACGGGUGAGUAACACGUAUGCAACCUGCCCUCCGCAGGGGGAUAACCCGGAGAAAUCCGGACUAAUACCGCGUGGUACACCUGUGGGGCAUCCCACGGGUGUUAAAAGGAAGUGAUUCCGGCGGAGGAUGGGCAUGCGGCGCAUUAGCGUGUUGGCGGGGUAACGGCCCACCAAGGCGACGAUGCGUAGGGGUUCUGAGAGGAAGGUCCCCCACACUGGUACUGAGACACGGACCAG
Molecule: ribosomal RNA, 320 nt
Filed under: uncultured bacterium
Lineage: Bacteria
Description: bacterial SSU rRNA
Rfam family: Bacterial small subunit ribosomal RNA
Source: RNAcentral